Molecule: ribosomal RNA, 460 nt
Filed under: uncultured bacterium
Lineage: Bacteria
Description: partial 16S ribosomal RNA
Rfam family: Bacterial small subunit ribosomal RNA
Source: RNAcentral
CCUACGGGCUGCAGCAGUGAGGAAUAUUGGUCAAUGGACGCAAGUCUGAACCAGCCAUGCCGCGUGCAGGAUGACGGCUCUAUGAGUUGUAAACUUCUUUUGUACGAGGGUAAAAUCCGGUACGUGUAUCUGGCUGAAAGUAUUUUACGAAUAAGGAUCGGCUAACUCCGUGCCAGCAGCCGCGGUAAUACGGAGGAUCCGAGCGUUAUCCGGAUUUAUUGGGUUUAAAGGGUGCGUAGGCGGGUUGAUAAGUUAGAGGUGAAAUGUCGGGGCUCAACCCCGAAACAGCCUCUAAAACUGUUGGACUAGAGAAUAGUUGAGGUAGGCGGAAUGUAUGGUGUAGCGGUGAAAUGCUUAGAGAUCAUACAGAACACCGAUUGCGAAGGCAGCUUACCAAACUAUAUCUGACGUUGAGGCACGAAAGCGUGGGUAGCGAACAGGAUUAGAUACCCCAGUAGUC